RNAcentral lists this ribosomal RNA (504 nucleotides) under uncultured bacterium. RNAcentral describes it as "partial 16S ribosomal RNA". It matches the Rfam family "Bacterial small subunit ribosomal RNA", at positions 30 to 523 of the family's 1533-position model. The record is from RNAcentral.
AUUGAACGCUGGCGGCAGGCCUAACACAUGCAAGUCGAACGGUAGCACAGAGAGCUUGCUCUCGGGUGACGAGUGGCGGACGGGUGAGUAACGUCUGGGAAACUGCCCGAUGGAGGGGGAUAACUACUGGAAACGGUAGCUAAUACCGCAUAACGUCGCAAGACCAACGUGGGGGACCUUCGGGCCUCACACCAUCGGAUGUGCCCAGAUGGGAUUAGCUAGUAGGUGGGGUAAUGGCUCACCUAGGCGACGAUCCCUAGCUGGUCUGAGCGGAUGACCAGCCACACUUGAACUGAGACACGGUCCAGACUCCUACGGGAGGCAGCAGUGGGGAAUAUUGCACAAUGGGCGCAAGCCUGAUGCAGCCAUGCCGCGUGUAUGAAGAAGGCCUUCGGGUUGUAAAGUACUUUCAGCGGGGAGGAAGGCGGUGAAGUUAAUAGCUUCACCGAUUGACGUUACCCGCAGAAGAAGCACCGGCUAACUCCGUGCCAGCCGCCGCGGUAA